UCUCUUCGUUUUUUUCAUUGGGUGUCUCUGUAUUUGUUUAUUUUUUCUUGGUUUGUUUUAUUUUAUUUCUUACGAGCUACUAAUUCUCAGUUGAUUUGAUGUGUAUUUAUUUGGUUAUUGAAUCUAGAUAUGUGUUUCUAAUUAACCCGCUAAAGGUACUUUGCUGGGUAUUUGUCUGGGUACCAUAGAUAUCCAGCAAACCAGAGAAGAAUUUAGGAUCAUAGGCUAAUUAAGUUCACAGUUUCACGAUUCUUCGGCCACUACUGCUGGUGAGGCACGGCUUUCUAUUGAUAGCAAAUUCAUUCUAUUACAUGGUUCCAAUAAGUACAAAUUGAAUAUUCUUUGGCCUAUUCUAGGCAACUUUAAAGAGAAAGAAUUGCUUAUUUUGGUGGUAUAGUCAACAUGACCAAAGGACAAAGCUUGGAGAAAACAAAUAAGUAAAGAGGAAGCAUACAGAAAGUGAAGAUCAUUGGAGUAGCUUCAAUAAGUGAAGAUACAUACAGGUUGUAAAGCUGUAACUUUGGGUUGACGGAAGGCUAAUGAGUUGCCCAACAAUUAUUUAUGCUCAACGCUAUAAGAAAAGUAUACUUUGUGUGGCCACAAGAAUGGAAUCACCAGCAUUUUGUUUUGACAAUGGAUCAAUGCAAGCUAUUUGUAGGCCAUCGUAUUAGUCAUUUAGUUUAAGGAGUUGAGUCUUGCACCUUUACAUUUUAUAAUGAAGUAGCAACAACUAGAGUUAUGCCUUGUAUUCUGGCUUUGAACUGAUGGGCCACUAAUUGAGCUGAAUAUGCAAUACCAACCUACAAGACAAGGCAUCCGUAUAACAAGUGCUUUUGAACAACUGUAGAGUACAACAUAUGCAGAUGGUGGAAAAACAUUGCAUCAAGUAACGGGUCAAAAGAAGAUGCUGUCAAUGAGGGUAUAAGUUGGUGG
This is a long non-coding RNA of Lycium barbarum (goji berry), 933 nucleotides long. RefSeq lists it as uncharacterized. NCBI's taxonomy places the organism in Eukaryota, Viridiplantae, Streptophyta, Magnoliopsida, Solanales, Solanaceae. The transcript has 2 exons. The record is from RefSeq and is a predicted model, not a curated record.